Molecule: ribosomal RNA, 673 nt
Filed under: uncultured prokaryote
Description: bacterial SSU rRNA
Rfam family: Bacterial small subunit ribosomal RNA
Source: RNAcentral
GAUGAACGCUGACAGAAUGCUUAACACAUGCAAGUCGAUUCAAUUUACCUUCGGGUAUUGAGGAUGGCGGACGGGUGAGUAACGCGUAAGGAACUUGCCUCUUGGUCUGGGACAACUGUUGGAAACGACAGCUAAUACCGGAUAUUAUGAGAUUCUCGCAUGGGAAACUUAUGAAAGCUAUAUGCGCCAAGAGAGAGCCUUGCGUUCCAUUAGCUAGUUGGUGGGGUAACGGCCCACCAAGGCGACGAUGGAUAGCCGGCCUGAGAGGGUGAACGGCCACAAGGGGACUGAGACACGGCCCUUACUCCUACGGGAGGCAGCAGUGGGGAAUAUUGGACAAUGGACCAAAAGUCUGAUCCAGCAAUUCUGUGUGCACGAUGAAGGUCUUCGGAUUGUAAAGUGCUUUCAGUUGGGAAGAAGCAAGUGACGGUACCAACAGAAGAAGCGACGGCUAAAUACGUGCCAGCAGCCGCGGUAAUACGUAUGUCGCAAGCGUUAUCCGGAUUUAUUGGGCGUAAAGCGCGUCUAGGCGGAAAAAUAAGUCUGAUGUUAAAAUGCGGGGCUCAACUCCGUAUUGCGUUGGAAACUGUUUUUCUAGAGUACUGGAGAGGUGGGCGGAACUACAAGUGUAGAGGUGAAAUUCGUANAUAUUUGUAGGAAUGCCGAUGGAGAA